RNAcentral lists this ribosomal RNA (544 nucleotides) under Candidiopotamon kumejimense. Its description in RNAcentral is "partial 16S ribosomal RNA". It matches the Rfam family "Bacterial large subunit ribosomal RNA", at positions 1831 to 2625 of the family's 2925-position model. Lineage: Eukaryota; Metazoa; Arthropoda; Malacostraca; Decapoda; Potamidae. The record is from RNAcentral.
GUUUGUUUGAAGGUAUAAGUAAUUUGGCCUGCCCCCUGAUCUUAGUAUUAAAGGGCCGCAGUAUUAUAACUGUGCAAAGGUAGCAUAGUCAUUAGGUUUUUAAUUGGAAUCUUGUAUGAAUGGUUGGACAAAAGAAAGACUCUCUUUAUAUUAGUUUUGAAUUUAACUUUUAAGUGAAAAGGCUUAAAUAAUCUAAGGGGACGAUAAGACCCUAUAAAACUUUAUAUUAUAAUUAUGUUUUAUUGAGUUUAAAAAUAAAGAUUUAAUUUAGUUAUUUAUUAUGUUGGGGAGACAUAGGUAAAAUAUUAUUUUAACUGCUUAUAAUUUAUACAAUUAUUUAUGAGUAAGUAGAAGAUCCUUUAUUGAAGAUUAAUAAGUUAAGUUACUUUAGGGAUAACAGCGUAAUUUCUUUUGAGAGUUCUUAUCGAUAAAGAAGGUUGCGACCUCGAUGUUGAAUUAAAAAAUCUUUAUAAUGCAGAGAUUAUAUUAGAAGGUCUGUUCGACCUUUAAAUUUUUACAUGAUUUGAGUUCAAACCGGUGUGAG